RNA transcript from Pan troglodytes (chimpanzee), 2951 nucleotides. It is a transcript of the gene named solute carrier family 35 member D2, with no coding region annotated. NCBI's taxonomy places the organism in Eukaryota, Metazoa, Chordata, Mammalia, Primates, Hominidae. The record is from RefSeq and is a predicted model, not a curated record. The transcript has 13 exons.
CCUCUUCCCCGGCCCGGCCGGGCGGGACCAGUGCGCAGCCGGGGCUGGCGGGCGGCAGGGUCCGCGGGGCCGCAGGAGAUGACGGCCGGCGGCCAGGCCGAGGCCGAGGGCGCUGGCGGGGAGCCCGGCGCGGCGCGGCUGCCCUCGCGGGUGGCCCGGCUGCUGUCGGCGCUCUUCUACGGGACCUGCUCCUUCCUCAUCGUGCUUGUCAACAAGGCGCUGCUGACCACCUACGGUUUCCCGUCACCAAUUUUCCUUGGAAUUGGACAGAUGGCAGCCACCAUAAUGAUACUAUAUGUGUCCAAGCUAAACAAAAUCAUUCACUUCCCUGAUUUUGAUAAGAAAAUUCCUGUAAAGCUGUUUCCUCUGCCUCUCCUCUACGUUGGAAACCACAUAAGUGGAUUAUCAAGCACAAGUAAAUUAAGCCUACCGAUGUUCACCGUGCUCAGGAAAUUCACCAUUCCACUUACCUUACUUCUGGAAACCAUCAUACUUGGGAAGCAGUAUUCACUCAACAUCAUCCUCAGUGUCUUUGCCAUUAUUCUCGGGGCUUUCAUAGCAGCUGGGUCUGACCUUGCUUUUAACUUAGAAGGCUAUAUUUUUGUAUUCCUGAAUGAUAUCUUCACAGCAGCAAAUGGAGUUUAUACCAAACAGAAAAUGGACCCAAAGGAGCUAGGGAAAUACGGAGUACUUUUCUACAAUGCCUGCUUCAUGAUUAUCCCAACUCUUAUUAUUAGUGUCUCCACUGGAGACCUGCAACAGGCUACCGAAUUCAACCAAUGGAAGAAUGUUCUGUUUAUCCUACAGUUUCUUCUUUCCUGUUUUUUGGGGUUUCUGCUGAUGUACUCCACGGUUCUGUGCAGCUAUUACAAUUCAGCCCUGACGACAGCAGUGGUUGGAGCCAUCAAGAAUGUAUCCGUUGCCUACAUUGGGAUAUUAAUCGGUGGAGACUACAUUUUCUCUUUGUUAAACUUUGUAGGGUUAAAUAUUUGCAUGGCAGGGGGCUUGAGAUAUUCCUUUUUAACACUGAGCAGCCAGUUAAAACCUAAACCUGUGGGUGAAGAAAACAUCUGUUUGGAUUUGAAGAGCUAAAGAGUCUGCAGCAGGAUUGGAGACUGACUUGUGACUGCGGGCUGGGGGGGCAUUCCCAGUAGGAAUGUGAAGCCAGAGGUUUCAGAUUCGUGACAUCCACCCCCUGGGCAAGUGAGAGCAUCUGCAAAAUGCAAAGAGAACUACCUCAUAUGCAGGAUGAGCCAAUGGCAGUCUCAAGAAAUGUACUUGGGUGACACCUUACCUGUGGAAAGCAAAUCUUUUCAAAAUAAGCCACUGGGACUCGGUUUGUUCAGGAGCUUUUACCACAGGUGCAUUUCCUCACAUGCUCACCUACCGCCAACCCCUGGUGUAUGGGAAGGAGGCCCGAAUGGAUAGGGUGCCUUUUCCCUCCCUGCGUGGGAAUGGGUGUCCCCACUGGAACUGGAGUGCGGGAUAGAGCCACGGUCUGGGAGUCAGGAGCCAGACUAACUAAACUUGUCUCUACUAUUAAACUCGGGAGACCUUUCCCAAGUCACUUUGCCCGUCGUGGCCUCUAGUAUUUUAAUCUGUAAAAUUCAACUGGAUCUCUAAAUCCUUGCAAGCUGCAACUUUCUGAGUUUCGAGAAGCUCAGCCAGAUCUGGAGCAGGCCAGCACAGGAAGGAAUCGUGUGGAUUUUUAUGUGGCUGGGUGCGGCGGUUCACGCCUGUAAUCCCAACACUUUGGGAGGCUGAGGUGGGAAAAUCGCUUGAGCCUAGGAGUUUGAGGCCAGCCUGGGUAACAUGGCCGAAACAUCAUCUCUACAAAAAAAAUUAGCCAGGCAUGGUGGCGCACACCUCUGAUCCCAGCUACUGGAGAGGCUGAGGUGGGAGGAUUGCUUGAGCCUGGGAGGUUGAGGCUGCAGUGAGCUGUGGUCACGCCACUACACUCCAGCCUCAGUGACAUGGUGAGACCCUGUCUCAAAAAAAACUUUUUUUUAAAUUGUGGUAAAAUACAUAACAGACUUUACCAUCCUAACCAUUUUUAAGUGUAUACAGUCCAGUAGGAGUAACCAUACUGAUUGUGCAACCUACCUCUAGAACUUUUUCAUCUUGCAAAACCGAAACUCUGUACCCAUGAAACAAGAACUCCCAUUUCCCCAUCCCUCUGGCCCCUGGCAACCCCCAUUCUACUCUCUUUGUGAGUUUGACUAUUCAAGAUACCUUAUAUAAGUAGAAUCAUAUAGUUUUUGUGACAGGUUUAUUCACUUAGCAUCAUAUCACCGAGGUUCAUCCAUGUUGUAGCAUGCAGAGCGUCCUUCCUUACGUCUGAAUGUGUGGUGUGGAUUUGCCGCAUUCUGUUUAUCCAGUCAUCUGCUGAUGGACACUCGGCUUGCUUCCACCAUUUGGCUAUUAUGAACAAUGCUGCUAUUAAUAUGGGUGUUCAAAUAUGUCUUCAAGGCUCUGCUUUCAAUUUUUUUAGAUAUAUGCCUAGAAGUGGAAUAGCUGGAUCCUGUGGUCUAUUUUUAGGUUUUUGAGGACCUGCUAUGCUGUUUUCUAUAGUGGCUGCACCAUUUUACAUUCCCGCCAUCAAGGGUUCCAAUUUCUCCACAACCUCAAUAACAUUUGUUAUUUUCUGUUUCAUUUUUACUAGUAGCCAUCAUAAUGGAUGUUUAAAAAAAUAAUUUAUUUUUAUUUUAUUUUGUUUUUAGAGAUGGGAUCUCACUAUGUUGCCCAGGAUGGUCUGCAACUCCUGGGCACAAAUGAUCCUCCUGCCUCAGCCUCUGGAGUAGCUGAGACUACAGGCUCACCUGCCUGGCUGUGUUUUGGUUUUGAUUUGUAUUUCCCUAAUUAAUCGAUUAGUGGUGUUGAGCAUUUUUUCAUGUACUUGUUGGCCAUUUAUUUAUCUUCUUAAAUAAAUGUCUAUUCAAGUCCAUUGCCCA